ACGGGUGAGUAAUACAUCGGAACGUGCCCAGUAGUGGGGGAUAGCUCGGCGAAAGCCGGAUUAAUACCGCAUACGACCUACGGGUGAAAGCGGGGGAUCGCAAGACCUCGCGCUAUUGGAGCGGCCGAUGUCAGAUUAGGUUGUUGGUGGGGUAAAGGCUCACCAAGCCGACGAUCUGUAGCUGGUCUGAGAGGACGACCAGCCACACUGGGACUGAGACACGGCCCAGACUCCUACGGGAGGCAGCAGUGGGGAAUUUUGGACAAUGGGCGAAAGCCUGAUCCAGCCAUGCCGCGUGCGGGAAGAAGGCCUUCGGGUUGUAAACCGCUUUUGUCAGGGAAGAAAUCUUUCGAGCUAAUACCUUGAGAGGAUGACGGUACCUGAAGAAUAAGCACCGGCUAACUACGUGCCAGCAGCCGCGGUAAUACGUAGGGUGCAAGCGUUAAUCGGAAUUACUGGGCGUAAAGCGUGCGCAGGCGGUUGUGCAAGACAGGUGUGAAAUCCCCGGGCUUAACCUGGGAACUGCACUUGUGACUGCACAGCUGGAGUACGGCAGAGGGGGAUGGAAUUCCGCGUGUAGCAGUG
RNAcentral lists this ribosomal RNA (585 nucleotides) under uncultured bacterium. RNAcentral's name for it is "bacterial SSU rRNA". It matches the Rfam family "Bacterial small subunit ribosomal RNA", at positions 102 to 683 of the family's 1533-position model. The record is from RNAcentral.